RNAcentral lists this ribosomal RNA (1425 nucleotides) under Pediococcus acidilactici. RNAcentral's name for it is "bacterial SSU rRNA". It matches the Rfam family "Bacterial small subunit ribosomal RNA". Lineage: Bacteria; Bacillati; Bacillota; Bacilli; Lactobacillales; Lactobacillaceae. The record is from RNAcentral.
CGAACUUCCGUUAAUUGAUCAGGACGUGCUUGCACAGAAUGAGAUUUUAACACGAAGUGAGUGGCGAACGGGUGAGUAACACGUGGGUAACCUGCCCAGAAGUAGGGGAUAACACCUGGAAACAGAUGCUAAUACCGUAUAAUAGAGAAAACCGCCUGGUUUUCUUUUGAAAGAUGGCUCUGCUAUCACUUCUGGAUGGACCCGCGGCGCAUUAGCUAGUUGGUGAGGUAACGGCUCACCAAGGCGAUGAUGCGUAGCCGACCUGAGAGGGUAAUCGGCCACAUUGGGACUGAGACACGGCCCAGACUCCUACGGGAGGCAGCAGUAGGGAAUCUUCCACAAUGGACGCAAGUCUGAUGGAGCAACGCCGCGUGAGUGAAGAAGGGUUUCGGCUCGUAAAGCUCUGUUGUUAAAGAAGAACGUGGGUGAGAGUAACUGUUCACCCAGUGACGGUAUUUAACCAGAAAGCCACGGCUAACUACGUGCCAGCAGCCGCGGUAAUACGUAGGUGGCAAGCGUUAUCCGGAUUUAUUGGGCGUAAAGCGAGCGCAGGCGGUCUUUUAAGUCUAAUGUGAAAGCCUUCGGCUCAACCGAAGAAGUGCAUUGGAAACUGGGAGACUUGAGUGCAGAAGAGGACAGUGGAACUCCAUGUGUAGCGGUGAAAUGCGUAGAUAUAUGGAAGAACACCAGUGGCGAAGGCGGCUGUCUGGUCUGUAACUGACGCUGAGGCUCGAAAGCAUGGGUAGCGAACAGGAUUAGAUACCCUGGUAGUCCAUGCCGUAAACGAUGAUUACUAAGUGUUGGAGGGUUUCCGCCCUUCAGUGCUGCAGCUAACGCAUUAAGUAAUCCGCCUGGGGAGUACGACCGCAAGGUUGAAACUCAAAAGAAUUGACGGGGGCCCGCACAAGCGGUGGAGCAUGUGGUUUAAUUCGAAGCUACGCGAAGAACCUUACCAGGUCUUGACAUCUUCUGCCAACCUAAGAGAUUAGGCGUUCCCUUCGGGGACAGAAUGACAGGUGGUGCAUGGUUGUCGUCAGCUCGUGUCGUGAGAUGUUGGGUUAAGUCCCGCAACGAGCGCAACCCUUAUUACUAGUUGCCAGCAUUAAGUUGGGCACUCUAGUGAGACUGCCGGUGACAAACCGGAGGAAGGUGGGGACGACGUCAAAUCAUCAUGCCCCUUAUGACCUGGGCUACACACGUGCUACAAUGGAUGGUACAACGAGUCGCGAAACCGCGAGGUUUAGCUAAUCUCUUAAAACCAUUCUCAGUUCGGACUGUAGGCUGCAACUCGCCUACACGAAGUCGGAAUCGCUAGUAAUCGCGGAUCAGCAUGCCGCGGUGAAUACGUUCCCGGGCCUUGUACACACCGCCCGUCACACCAUGAGAGUUUGUAACACCCAAAGCCGGUGGGGUAACCUUUUAGGA